GUGCUGGCUUCAGCAGCACAUACACUAAAAUCGGAAUGAUACAGAAAUUAUCAUGGCCCCUGUACAGGGAUGACAUGCAAAUUCGUGAAGCCUUUUU
This 97-nucleotide small nuclear RNA is filed under the name Chlorocebus sabaeus (green monkey). Lineage: Eukaryota; Metazoa; Chordata; Mammalia; Primates; Cercopithecidae. The record is from RNAcentral.